UACAACCCCUGGAGGCGGUGCCGUAGGGGCGGGGCUUGUCAGGGGCGUGGUCGGGGCAGAACUAGCCGCCCUGCCGGCCUCUCUCGCCCUCUGGUGGCCGGGUCGCUUCAGGCCGGUACCAUCAAAGCAACUGAGAAGUUAGCUUGAGUUGGGACCCCCACCUCCCUGGGAACUACAGGCCUCGGAUGGUAUACCAGUACUGAGCAUCACAGCCCUGCAAGAGUAAAGUGGGGAGCCCAGCCCUGGUCAAUAUGGUCCGCACAACUGUCUCCCCAACUCUACUUUGUUCAGCACAAAUAUGCUGGCGUUUGUAGGAGGAAGAGAAGAGGGACUGAGGAAGCAGGCUCUGCUGCGGAGUAAGGAGCAGACGAGAUUGACAGUGUGUACCAGAUGGAAAAGGUGGAGAAGAGAACUUUUAACAGUAAAAUAAGUGCCAGAGACGUUAUGAGCGGUUUGACUUCUUCUGUAUCUUUGGAGGCUCAGAACCUCAGAAGCACAGCAGUGUUGCACUCUAUUUCUUACUGGCAGCUGUGGCCCAGAUGUUGAGUUCGAAAUGACCCUCCCUUCACCACUGGGGUGUGUUGUUGUUGUCCCCGCAGGGCUGAUCACUAGCCAGACCUCGAGCACCUGGCAUCUUCUGGACAGAAAUUAGGAUGACAGCUACCAGAAACAUUCCCCCAACUCAGCUGGGAAGACCCAACCUGGCUGCCUUCCAACCA
Mesocricetus auratus (golden hamster) is the source of this 719-nucleotide long non-coding RNA. RefSeq lists it as uncharacterized. The transcript has 2 exons. Lineage: Eukaryota; Metazoa; Chordata; Mammalia; Rodentia; Cricetidae. The record is from RefSeq and is a predicted model, not a curated record.